GAUGAAGAACGCAGCGAAAUGUGAUAAGUAAUGCGAAUUGCAGAAUUCAGUGAGUCAUCGAAUCUUUGAACGCACAUUGCGCCCUGUGGUAUUCCGCAGGGCAUGCCUGUUCGAGCGUCAUUUCAACCCUCAAGCUCUGCUUGGUGUUGGGCCCUGCCCGCUGCGGCCGGCCCUAAAGACAGUGGCGGUGCCGCCUGGCCCUGAGCGUAGUACAUCUCUCGCUCCAGUGCCCGGUGGUAGCCUGCCAGAACCCCAACUCUCGUGGUUGACCUCGGAUCAGGGAGGGAUACCCGCUGAACUUAAGCAUAUCAAUAAGCGGAGGA
RNAcentral lists this unclassified non-coding RNA (323 nucleotides) under soil metagenome. Its description in RNAcentral is "partial contains 5.8S ribosomal RNA, internal transcribed spacer 2, and large subunit ribosomal RNA". The stretch from base 1 to 120 matches the Rfam family "5.8S ribosomal RNA", at positions 35 to 154 of the family's 154-position model. The record is from RNAcentral.